Long non-coding RNA from Lingula anatina, 624 nucleotides. The record is from RefSeq and is a predicted model, not a curated record. Lineage: Eukaryota; Metazoa; Brachiopoda; Lingulata; Lingulida; Lingulidae.
UUUAUUUAUUUAUUGUAGUUAUCUUAAGGGGAAAAUGUCUGGAAUGGCUUUGCUUCAAGUACAGGUUCCAGGAGGAUUCGAGGCAGAACUUCAGUCACUGAAGGAUAAUAUUCUUGUUAAAAAAGUGGAAAUGAAAAAACGCAUCGUCAAUAUUUACUUUGACUCGAUUCCGGGGGAUCCUAUCGUACUUUACGUUGACGUUCCAAUGUCCAGAAAUGACUUGGUGGGAAAAACACAGCCUGCUACCGUCAAGAUCAUAGAUUACUACUCUCCUGGUAACGAAGUGUUGACUACCUACCAGUCCAGCGUUCUGAAUCAAUUAGAAGUUUGCGAUCUUUGCGGUAAAGAUUGCAAAAUAUGCUAAAGUUGAGAAAGAAAUCACAGAAUCUCGAAUGGGCAACCCAGUGUUAAGUCCACCAAAGAAAAGACUUGAACCGUACAAAAGGCAGAAUUGCUCCAUAAUAAAGACAUACGUGAUUUCUUGCAACACUUUUAAGUUAAAAGCUUAAGGACUUAUUAACACGAUGUUUAAAACAUUAUUUGCCAUGCAGUUUUGACUCUUUCACUAAUUGCUAAAAAAAAACUUGGAUCGAUUUAUAUCAAUAAAAUGAUAUUAGGAAUGGA